AUUGAACGCUAGCGGGAUGCUUUACACAUGCAAGUCGAACGAGACGGGCACGGGUGAGUAUUAUACCGGAACGUGCCCAGUUGCGGGGGAUAACUACUCGACAGAGUGGCUAAUACCGCAUACUAUGUGAGCGGCCGGUAUCGGUUUAGCUAGGUGGUGGGGUAAAGGCUCGCCAAGGCAACGAUCCGUAGCUGGGUUGAGAGGAAGACCAGCCACACUGGGAUGGAGACACGGCCCAGACUCCUACGUGAGGCAGCAGUGGGGAAUUUUGGACAAUGGGGGAAACCCUGAUCCAGCCAUCCCGCGUGUAUGAGAAGGCCUUCGGGUUGUAAAGUACUUUUGGCAGAGAAGCGGUAUCUGAAGAAUAAGCACCGGCUAACUACGUGCCAGCAGCCGCGGUAAUAC
This 405-nucleotide ribosomal RNA is filed under the name uncultured bacterium. Its description in RNAcentral is "partial 16S ribosomal RNA". It matches the Rfam family "Bacterial small subunit ribosomal RNA", at positions 30 to 526 of the family's 1533-position model. The record is from RNAcentral.